GUCGAGCGGGAUGAGUGGGAGCUUGCUCCAUGAUUCAGCGGCGGACGGGUGAGUAAUGCCUAGGAAUCUGCCUGGUAGUGGGGGACAACGUUUCGAAAGGAACGCUAAUACCGCAUACGUCCUACGGGAGAAAGUGGGGGAUCUUCGGACCUCACGCUAUCAGAUGAGCCUAGGUCGGAUUAGCUAGUUGGUGAGGUAAAGGCUCACCAAGGCGACGAUCCGUAACUGGUCUGAGAGGAUGAUCAGUCACACUGGAACUGAGACACGGUCCAGACUCCUACGGGAGGCAGCAGUGGGGAAUAUUGGACAAUGGGCGAAAGCCUGAUCCAGCCAUGCCGCGUGUGUGAAGAAGGUCUUCGGAUUGUAAAGCACUUUAAGUUGGGAGGAAGGGCAGUAAGUUAAUACCUUGCUGUUUUGACGUUACCAACAGAAUAAGCACCGGCUAACUUCGUGCCAGCAGCCGCGGUAAUACGAAGGGUGCAAGCGUUAAUCGGAAUUACUGGGCGUAAAGCGCGCGUAGGUGGUUCGUUAAGUUGGAUGUGAAAGCCCCGGGCUCAACCUGGGAACUGCAUCCAAAACUGG
RNAcentral lists this ribosomal RNA (582 nucleotides) under Pseudomonas sp. Its description in RNAcentral is "bacterial SSU rRNA". It matches the Rfam family "Bacterial small subunit ribosomal RNA", at positions 61 to 636 of the family's 1533-position model. The record is from RNAcentral. Lineage: Bacteria; Pseudomonadati; Pseudomonadota; Gammaproteobacteria; Pseudomonadales; Pseudomonadaceae.